UACACUCCUGCGGGAGGCAGCAGUGGGGAAUAUUGCACAAUGGGCGCAAGCCUGAUGCAGCCAUGCCGCGUGUAUGAAGAAGGCCUUCGGGUUGUAAAGUACUUUCAGCGGGGAGGAAGGCGAUAAGGUUAAUAACCUUGUUGAUUGACGUUACCCGCAGAAGAAGCACCGGCUAACUCCGUGCCAGCAGCCGCGGUAAUACGGAGGGUGCAAGCGUUAAUCGGAAUUACUGGGCGUAAAGCGCACGCAGGCGGUCUGUCAAGUCGGAUGUGAAAUCCCCGGGCUCAACCUGGGAACUGCAUUCGAAACUGGCAGGCUAGAGUCUUGUAGAGGGGGGUAGAAUUCCAGGUGGAGCGGUGAAAUGCGUAGAGAUCUGGAGGAAUACCGGUGGCGAAGGCGGCCCCCUGGACAAAGACUGACGCUCAGGUGCGAAAGCGUGGGGAGCAAACAGGAUUAGAAACCCUUGUAGUCCC
RNAcentral lists this ribosomal RNA (473 nucleotides) under uncultured organism. RNAcentral describes it as "partial 16S ribosomal RNA". It matches the Rfam family "Bacterial small subunit ribosomal RNA", at positions 332 to 797 of the family's 1533-position model. The record is from RNAcentral.